Molecule: ribosomal RNA, 406 nt
Filed under: uncultured bacterium
Lineage: Bacteria
Description: bacterial SSU rRNA
Rfam family: Bacterial small subunit ribosomal RNA
Source: RNAcentral
AUUGAACGCUGGCGGCAUGCCUUACACAUGCAAGUCGAACGGCAGCACGGGAGCAAUCCUGGUGGCGAGUGGCGAACGGGUGAGUAAUAUAUCGGAACGUGCCCAGUCGUGGGGAUAACGUAGCGAAAGCUACGCUAAUACCGCAUACGAUCUAUGGAUGAAAGCGGGGGAUCGCAAGACCUCGCGCGAUUGGAGCGGCCGAUAUCAGAUUAGGUAGUUGGUGAGGUAAAGGCUCACCAAGCCGACGAUCUGUAGCUGGUCUGAGAGGACGACCAGCCACACUGGGACUGAGACACGGCCCAGACUCCUACGGAGGCAGCAGUGGGGAAUUUUGGACAAUGGGCGCAAGCCUGAUCCAGCAAUGCCGCGUGCAGGAUGAAGGCCUUCGGUUGUAACUGCUUUGUUA